RNAcentral lists this ribosomal RNA (875 nucleotides) under uncultured bacterium. RNAcentral's name for it is "bacterial SSU rRNA". It matches the Rfam family "Bacterial small subunit ribosomal RNA", at positions 26 to 898 of the family's 1533-position model. The record is from RNAcentral.
AGGAUUAACGCUAGCGGCAGGCCUAAUACAUGCAAGUCGAACGGCAGCGGGUCCAGCAAUGGAUGCCGGCGAGUGGCGCACGGGUGCGUAACGCGUAUGCAAUCUACCUUUAACUGGAGGAUAGCCCCGAGGAAUCGGGAUUAAUACUCCAUAAUAUUGAGAAGGGGCAUCUCUUUUCAAUUAAAGCUCCGGCGGUUUUAGAUGAGCAUGCGUGACAUUAGCUAGUUGGUGAGGUAACGGCUCACCAAGGCGACGAUGUCUAGGGGUUCUGAGAGGAUUUUCCCCCACACUGGUACUGAGACACGGACCAGACUCCUACGGGAGGCAGCAGUAAGGAAUAUUGGGCAAUGGGCGCAAGCCUGACCCAGCCAUGCCGCGUGAAGGAUGACAGCCCUAUGGGUUGUAAACUUCUUUUGUACGGGAAAAAACCCCCGGUCGUGUACCGGGGCUGAUGGUACCGUAAGAAUAAGCAUCGGCUAACUCCGUGCCAGCAGCCGCGGUAAUACGGAGGAUGCAAGCGUUAUCCGGAUUCAUUGGGUUUAAAGGGUGCGCAGGCGGAAUGAUAAGUCAGUGGUGAAAUCCUACGGCUCAACUGUAGAACUGCCAUUGAUACUGUCGUUCUUGAGUACACUUGAAGUGGGCGGAAUGUGUCAUGUAGCGGUGAAAUGCUUAGAUAUGACACAGAACACCGAUCGCGAAGGCAGCUCACUAAAUUGUAACUGACGCUCAUGCACGAAAGCGUGGGGAUCAAACAGGAUUAGAUACCCUGGUAGUCCACGCCGUAAACGAUGAUUACUCGAUGUUGGCGAUACACUGUCAGCGUCUAAGCGAAAGCAUUAAGUAAUCCACCUGGGGAGUACGGCCGCAAGGUUGAA